RNAcentral lists this long non-coding RNA (1448 nucleotides) under Equus caballus (horse). Its description in RNAcentral is "lncRNA (ENSECAG00000053530.1)". The record is from RNAcentral. Lineage: Eukaryota; Metazoa; Chordata; Mammalia; Perissodactyla; Equidae.
CCUUUCCCUACCAGUUAAAUAUCAGCCCUGUGCCAUGGACUGAGGAGAUAUGAAGAAGGAAAUCAACACAAGAUUGUGUUGGCACAAGAGAAAGCUGCUCUGAAUGGUGAGAACAGGAGUCAGCCCACCUAUCCUAAGUCAAAGGAACCCACCAGUUCCAAGGAGGAGGCACAGAUGAAAAGAAGAAAGGAAAGAAGUGAAAGAAGAAGAACAAGUGAGAGGUGGGAGGAGAAGGACAAGGAUGGUGGAGCUGAAGCAGGGUAGCACAAGCUGCCUUGUGAAUUACCAGAGUGAAGAAAUGGCCCCAAGGGACAUCAUCUUGAAGCCACGUGAGGAAAGACACAGCCACAUGAUUCUCUAUGAGUAAAUUGAGCCGAGAGGGAUAAAGAGACUUAUUCAAAAGACACAGUAGACACUAUUAAAGUUGGACUCCAGAACACAGAUUCCCUGACUCUUUCUACUAGAUAAAUCGCACUGCCUUCCUGCAAUGCUGCUCCCAAUGCAUGUCUCAUCCUUCAGAGAAUUCCAAAAGAAACCAUUCAAAGAGAAGUUGAAUACUGAGUGAAUCUGAGCUACUCUCCUGGACUUCUAAUCUCUGAAGAACAAAGUUUACCGGAAGAAAUUUGUGAAGUCAUUUGGCCUAUUUCGUGGGGCGCCAAUAAUAUUCAUAUAAUUUCAGCUGAAUUCUUGUUAAUCAGUAGCACACUCUUGACCUUUGUGAAAACAUCAGGCCAACUGAGUGGGCUCAAUUACAAAAGUGUCACUUCUUUUGUCUCUUUAGGCUCAAAUGGAAGGGAAUUUCUUUACCACAAUUCCUAAUAUGGAAACUGACAUCACAGAGGAUAAAAAGCUGCCGUUCUUUUGAAACACUAAACAUAUUCUCAUCUCAGGGUCUUUACUCUUGCUGUCCCUUCUACUUAUUUAUCCCAGAACUUCACAUGUCUUCCUCCUCCUCCCUCCACCUCAGGUCUCAACUCAAAUAUUAUUCCCUCCAAGAAGCCUUCUUUUGUUGCCUCGAUUAAAGCACCUUCCUGCUCAGCCCCAGCACUAAUCAUGUGUAUUGGGUUGAAAAGCAGCCCCCAAAAUUCAUGUCCAACCGGAACCUCAGAAUGUGACCUUAUUUGGAAAUAGGGUCUUUGCAGAUUUAACUAAGGUUAAGUGUAGAGUUGAGAUCAUACUAGGUGAGGAUGAGCCCUAAAUCCAAUGAGAGUGUCCUUAUAAGAGACAGAAAAGGACACAUGGAGAGACAGAGAAAAGAAGGCCAUAUAAAGAUGCAGACAGAGAUUGGAGUGGUGCGGCCACAGGCCACGGAACACGAGGAGCCAUGAGGAGCUAGAAGGGGCAAGAAAACUUUCUCCCUAGAGCCUUUCGAUGGAUUAUGGCCCUGGUACACCUUGAGUUCAGAUUUCUGGCCUUCUGAACUAUGAGAGAAUAAAUUCCUAUUGUUU